Non-coding RNA from Pelobates cultripes (western spadefoot toad), 237 nucleotides. Lineage: Eukaryota; Metazoa; Chordata; Amphibia; Anura; Pelobatidae. The record is from the annotation of a GenBank genome assembly.
AGAAACUUGGUUCCCCCGACCCAGCUUCCUCUUGGCACACACUUCCUCUUAAAUGUCUGCAGAUGUGGUCAGGUUGGAGGGGUGAGUUAUUUGAUCCAGUUGCAGUUGAUGGAGUGGAGUGGAUGGGUCUGCUUCUCCAAUCUGACAUUACUCAUCCCUUGGCGCUAUUAAAAAUAAGUCUCCUCAGCAAAGGAUAGGGCAUAGGGAAAAGAUGCAGAUAUCUGCAGCUGGUAUUGC